GCCGGGCAUGAUGGCUCAUGCCUGUAAUCCCAGCACUUUGGGAGGCCGAGGCGGGUGGAUCACCUGAGGUCAGGAGUUCAAGACCAGCCUGGCCAACAUGGCGAAACCCCGUCUCGC
This 117-nucleotide non-coding RNA is filed under the name Chlorocebus sabaeus (green monkey). The record is from Rfam by way of RNAcentral. Lineage: Eukaryota; Metazoa; Chordata; Mammalia; Primates; Cercopithecidae.